Molecule: transfer RNA, 72 nt
Filed under: Ictidomys tridecemlineatus (thirteen-lined ground squirrel)
Lineage: Eukaryota; Metazoa; Chordata; Mammalia; Rodentia; Sciuridae
Description: Spermophilus tridecemlineatus (thirteen-lined ground squirrel) tRNA
Rfam family: tRNA
About the family: Transfer RNA (tRNA) molecules are approximately 80 nucleotides in length. Their secondary structure includes four short double-helical elements and three loops (D, anti-codon, and T loops).
Source: Rfam by way of RNAcentral
UGGGAUGUAGCUCAGUGGUAGAACACUUACCUGGCAUGUGUGAGGCAUUGGGUUUGAUUCUUAGCAUCUCAU